RNAcentral lists this ribosomal RNA (421 nucleotides) under uncultured bacterium. Its description in RNAcentral is "partial 16S ribosomal RNA". It matches the Rfam family "Bacterial small subunit ribosomal RNA", at positions 360 to 774 of the family's 1533-position model. The record is from RNAcentral.
AAUUUUGGACAAUGGGGGAAACCCUGACCCAGCCAUCCUGCGCGGAUGAUGAAGGCCUCCGGGUUGUAAAGGACUUUUGGCAGAGAAGAAAAGGUAUCUCCUAAUACGAGACACUGCUGACGGUAUCUGCAGAUUAAGCACCGGCUAACUACGUGCCAGCAGCCGCGGUAAUAUGUAGGGUGCAAGCGUUAAUAGGAAUUACUGGGCGUAACGCAAGUGUAGGCGGUUCGGAAUGAAAGAUGGGAAAUCCCAGGGCUCAACCUUGGAACUGCAUGUUAACUGCAGAGCUAGAGUAUGUCAGAGGGGAAUAGAAUUCCACGUGUAGCAGUGAGAUGCGUAGAUAAGUGAAGGAAUACCGAUGGCGAAGGCAGCCCCCUGGGAUAAUACUGACGCUCAGACACGAAAGCGUAGGGAGCAAACA